GGUAAGUCAAAACGAAGAUAGAGCUGAAAUUUUGUAUCGUAUGCAAAGCACUUUUAAGUGCGGUCACAUGCGACGAGAUUUCAGUGAUAAAACACUAAAAUACGAAGUCCGCAAUCUUUCAGAUUUGUGUGACAAAAUCAUCCCUCACUUUCGUGUGUAUUCUAUGAUUUCAGGCAAACAACAAGACUUUGAGCUUUUCGCUCAAGUGUGUGAGCUUAUGAAAGAAGGAAAACAACAUACGAAGUCUGGUAUGCGACAGAUUAUACGCCUCGCAUUCCAGAUGAAUCCUUCAGGUAAACGGAAGUAUACGCAAGCAGAAUUGCUUGCACUGUUGAGAUGAAGAUAUAGUCUAUGCCUCUAGUAAUAGGGGAGUCAGAGAAUGUCAGCACAACAUUCACACAUCGAAAUGAAGUUCCGACGUGCACGAAUGGCGUAACGACUGGGAAACUGUCUCGAGGGCAUGCUCGGUGAAAAUGCAAUAGGGGUAAAGAUGCCCCUUACCUGCAGAUAGACGAAAAGACCCCGGGAGCUUUACUGUAGCUUCGUAUUGGGGCUGUUGAAUUGAUGCGUAGCAUAGGUGGGAGACUUUGAAGCAUUCCUUCUGGGGAAUGUGGAGUCGCCAGUGAAAUACCACCCUUUAAUUUGGCAGUCUCUAAUCUGACAGGCAAAACCUGUCAGCGACAGUGCGUGGCAGGCAGUUUAAGUGGGGCGCUUCCCUCCUAAAGAGUAACGGAGGGGUCUCAAGGUUGGUUAGGCGCGAAUGGAAACCGUGCCGAUAGUGUAAUGGCAAAAACCAGCUUGACUGCAAGAUGUAAGUAUCGCGCAGACACGAAAGUGGAGCAUAGUGAACCGAUGGUCGGCUUUAGAUGCCGCCGGAGAUUACCUGAUAAAAGUUACCCCGGGGAUAACAGGCUAGUCGUGCCCAAGCGUCCAUAGCGACGGCACGGUUCGGCACCUCGAUGUCGGCUCGACUUAUCCUGGGGCUGGAGCAGGUCCCAAGGGUUUGGCUGUUCGCCAAUUAAAAAGUCACGCGAGCUGGGUUUAGACCGUCGAGCACCUUUUUCAAUUAAAAGGGUGCUCGACCAAUCUAAACCCGAGGUGAAUACACUGACCUUGUAUUCGAAAAGACAUCAUCACGGCGGCCCGAACAAGUAAUUGUUUGGUGAUAAGUUGACUAUAUCGGUAAAAUCCUACCAACACAUGUUAGGAUAAUACCGAGGGAAGUUAUCUUAUGUCGCAUGCGUCUCAACUACAUGAUGCGUAUAUAGCCGGAUUCCUAGAUGGAGAUGGAAGUAUCUAUGUGAGAGCAAAACCGAAUUUGACCUAUAAAUUUGGUUAC
Molecule: ribosomal RNA, 1339 nt
Filed under: Candidatus Kaiserbacteria bacterium
Lineage: Bacteria; Candidatus Kaiseribacteriota
Description: bacterial LSU rRNA
Rfam family: Bacterial large subunit ribosomal RNA (bases 481-1074)
Source: RNAcentral